CCUACGGGAGGCAGCAGUGGGGAAUUUUGGACAAUGGGCGCAAGCCUGAUCCAGCAAUGCCGCGUGAGUGAAGAAGGCCUUCGGGUUGUAAAGCUCUUUUGUCAGGGAAGAAACGGUGAGGGCUAAUAUCUCUUGCUAAUGACGGUACCUGAAGAAUAAGCACCGGCUAACUACGUGCCAGCAGCCGCGGUAAUACGUAGGGUGCAAGCGUUAAUCGGAAUUACUGGGCGUAAAGCGUGCGCAGGCGGUUUUGUAAGUCUGUCGUGAAAUCCCCGGGCUCAACCUGGGAAUUGCGAUGGAGACUGCAAGGCUAGAAUCUGGCAGAGGGGGGUAGAAUUCCACGUGUAGCAGUGAAAUGCGUAGAGAUGUGGAGGAACACCGAUGGCGAAGGCAGCCCCCUGGGUCAAGAUUGACGCUCAUGCACGAAAGCGUGGGGAGCAAACAGGAUUAGAUACCCUGGUAGUCCACGCCCUAAACGAUGUCUACUAGUUGUCGGGUUUUAAUUAACUUGGUAACGCAGCUAACGCGUGAAGUAGACCGCCUGGGGAGUACGGUCGCAAGAUUAAAACUCAAAUGAAUUGACGG
Molecule: ribosomal RNA, 585 nt
Filed under: uncultured bacterium
Lineage: Bacteria
Description: bacterial SSU rRNA
Rfam family: Bacterial small subunit ribosomal RNA
Source: RNAcentral